Patella vulgata (common limpet) is the source of this 1135-nucleotide long non-coding RNA. RefSeq lists it as uncharacterized. The transcript has 4 exons. The record is from RefSeq and is a predicted model, not a curated record. Lineage: Eukaryota; Metazoa; Mollusca; Gastropoda; Patellidae.
ACGUGACAACCCAGUUUGUAUGACGUAGACCACAGCUUCGAAUGGUGAAUUUCAUACAGAAACCACGCUGUAGAUUUGUUAAAAUAUCAGCCAGUUGAGAAAAUUGCAAGUAUGUCAAGUACAGACGAAACAGAAUUAAAAGCUGGGCAUCCGCCUGCAGUUAAAGUGGGAGGAAUGAGGGUUGCUAAGACAACCAAAACUCACCAUGAGGGUGCAGCACAAGAUGACGACUCGGAAAAAAAAUCUAUUCAACCAAAUUCGACUAGCUUUUUAAAUACGCAACCCAAUACAGAUUUAGAUGGUGUUGUUACCAAGGGAUAUAAUACUCCUCAACAUGGUGAACACAUUAAACAUGUUCACGAACCAAAGCAACCAACGCAUGAAAGACGAGCCCCCAAUCCUCAAAUCAAUAUGCAUAUUAACCAACCCAGAUAGAAAGGGUGUGAUUUGCUUAAAUCAUUUAUAUUAUUGGGAAUCACAAAUUAUGCACAAUAUUUGUUUCAUCUGAUUAUUAUAAAACACAUUUGUAAUUUGGGUUAUGUGUCAAUUUUAUGUCAACAAAAUCAUGAUUCGAUUUCUUUUAAUCUAAUAUUUUAUUUAUAUCAAUAAAAAUAUUAACAGAUUAUCAAUACAUAUCUUUGUAAUAAAGUAUUCAAUUUACCAAUUAACACAAAUAAAUAGUGCCGGUUGAAAAACAUGAGGAAACUUAUCAACAUGUGUUUCUUUCUUUCAAUCUGUCGUAUAUAUGAAUUGAGCUCAGUAAAUGGCAAAUCGUAAACACAAUGUCCAGAUUGAUGAAAUUGUAAAUGAAUAUUUUUGUUAAUGUUAAUGUUUGAAUUAAAAAUAGUAUCCAGAUGUAGACAUUCUGAAAGGAAGCUACAGAAAUCUUUGUUUUAGGGUUAUUCUGGCUUAAGAGUACAUAUUGUUUAAUUAUUAGAAACAGAUGUGUUAAUUAUAUUUGACAGUUAUUAUAUAUAUGGUUUAUUUGACCAAGGUAGUGGAAGUAUAUUUUGUUGGUAAAAGGGAUGUUCUAUAAAUAUAUCUACUUAUGAUUCAAAGUGCUGAUUCUGUAAAAACUUAAAUUAUGAUUCAAAGUGCUAAUUAGUGAAAAAAAUAAAUAUAUUAUCUAUUUAAA